AGCGAGCAUAUAAGCGGAAGUUUUCGGAUAGAAGCGUGUAUGACUGAGCGGCGGACGGGUGAGUAACGCGUGGGUAACCUGCCUCAUACAGGGGGAUAACAGUUAGAAAUGACUGCUAAUACCGCAUAAGCGCACAGGACCGCAUGGUCAAGUGUGAAAAACUCCGGUGGUAUGAGAUGGACCCGCGUCUGAUUAGCUGGUUGGUGAGGUAACGGCCCACCAAGGCGACGAUCAGUAGCCGACCUGAGAGGGUGGCCGGCCACAUUGGGACUGAGACACGGCCCAAACUCCUACGAGAGGCAGCAGUGGGGAAUAUUGCACAAUGGGGGAAACCCUGAUGCAGCAACGCCGCGUGAGUGAAGAAGUAUUUCGGUAUGUAAAGCUCUAUCAGCAGGGAAGAAGAAAGACGGUACCUGACUAAGAAGCCCCGGCUAACUACGUGCCAGCAGCCGCGGUAAUACGUAGGGGGCAAGCGUUAUCCGGAUUUACUGGGUGUAAAGGGAGCGUAGACGGCAUAGCAAGUCUGAAGUGAAAGCCCGUGGCUCAACCGCGGAACUGCUUUGGAAACUGUUAAGCUGGAGUACUGGAGAGGCAAGCGGAAUUCCUAGUGUAGCGGUGAAAUGCGUAGAUAUUAGGAGGAACACCAGUGGCGAAGGCGGCUUGCUGGACAGAGACUGACGUUGAGGCUCGAAAGCGUGGGGAGCAAACAGGAUUAGAUACCCUGGUAGUCCACGCGGUAAACGAUGAAUGCUAGGUGUUGGC
Molecule: ribosomal RNA, 762 nt
Filed under: uncultured bacterium
Lineage: Bacteria
Description: bacterial SSU rRNA
Rfam family: Bacterial small subunit ribosomal RNA
Source: RNAcentral